UACGGGGGGGGCAAGCGUUGUUCGGAAUUACUGGGCGUAAAGGGCUCGUAGGUGGCCAACUAAGUCAGACGUGAAAUCCCUCGGCUUAACCGGGGGAACUGCGUCUGAUACUGGAUGGCUAGAGUUUGGGAGAGGGAUGCGGGAAUUCCAGGUGUAGCGGUGAAAUGCGUAGAUAUCGGGAAGAACACCCGUGGCGAAGGCGGUUCUCUGGGACGGUACUGACGCUGAGACGCGAAAGCGUGGGGAGCGAACAGG
RNAcentral lists this ribosomal RNA (255 nucleotides) under uncultured bacterium. RNAcentral describes it as "partial 16S ribosomal RNA". It matches the Rfam family "Bacterial small subunit ribosomal RNA", at positions 524 to 776 of the family's 1533-position model. The record is from RNAcentral.